This 1534-nucleotide long non-coding RNA is filed under the name Pomacea canaliculata. RNAcentral's name for it is "uncharacterized LOC112553297, transcript variant X2". The record is from RNAcentral. Lineage: Eukaryota; Metazoa; Mollusca; Gastropoda; Architaenioglossa; Ampullariidae.
UUCACAUCAAUUGAGCUGGAUUUCUCCUCGAUAAAAAUCGAAUGAAACUUCACAAAUAUUCAAAAUAUAAGAAAGAUUUAUUAAAUGAAGAGUUUAACUAGUCGCAAGGCAUUUUGUGAACUUUAAUACGUUUUGAGCAAGGGUAAGAGUGGGACAGUUCCCAGGGCCGUUCCUUUCUCACGCCAGCUGCGUACGUAAUAGCCUUGCAGCAUUGAACUGCUCACCCGCGGCCAUUGCAUGGCUGAUUUUCAAUGGCACUGGACCCUUAGCGGACUAAAACCCGUAUGGUCGUUGUACGAUUCCGUGUGUGGCUCGUUAUUCAUGGCAUUUCUGGCUACUCAAAAUGUUCUCUAACUCUGGCUCUAAUUCUUCUUUUUGUUGAGUACGAAUAGUACAUGCUAUGUAAAUUAUAUUUAACAUUUUUAAAAAAAAUGCAGAUGAGAUAUGAAGAUUAUACAACUCUGAUUAAAAAUGCAAAAGUUAACAUACGAAUUCCUUCAUCUAUCCCUGAUAUUUUUGUAUGUGUCUUAUUCCCGUGAAAUAAAUAUGCACAAGGCGGCAAAUCGUUUAGUGACCUUUCAUACCUGGAUAAAAAUAUAGAGCUUAGAGUUAGAAAAUUAGCUAUUUUCUUCCAUUAUUUGUUUUGCUUUUUUACUUAAACUUUUAAAAUUAAUAAAGUUUGUUUAAUCACUUUUAUCUUUAAACGCCUGCACCCAGCUGUCUAGAAUUAUUGUAAAAUAAAUUAUUAACCAUCAUACAAUUAUUACCAGUUGUUGUCGAAAAAAGAGACUAUUAAAGUUAAUUUGUCUGAAUUGAUGCAUCCAUGCAACCCAAUCAUGUAAAUGGGCUAUCUAUAUGAGGUUCUUUCCUUCACCAUUGGGAACAGAAUCCUUAUGCUGCACUUUCUCAGAUAUUCUUUUGAUUACCUGUGGAAAGUUUGGACAAGUCGUUUAAGCUGGCGUAAAAAGUUCUCAAAUGGAGAUCGAGUGUCAUGGAUCAGUCCGUGCCUCCAGUGUUUUUCAGACUUUUAACCCUUUUGUGACUCACGGACUAACAGUGGUAUGUUGAAUGUAUAUGGUUGAAUGGAUAAAAACAUAGGAAAGGGUUAACUGUGUUAAGUGCGGUACUGACCCGUUUUGGGAUUAACCUCGCCUAGACGAGGUUUUAAUCGUAUGGGCGGAUUUAACUGGAGCUAUUCUGGGUAAAGAAGAAUCGCCUGCCAGGACCAUUCCGUGAUCGACGUGAUUUUGGUUCAGCACCCAGCAGCACGUGCGUUAGGAGUCCGGCCGUGACGUCUUACCAACCAAGGGCCAUAACCCCUAAUAAUGGCACGUGACUUUUAGCCAAUGGUGUACGUGAUCGGAACUGCGCGCCAUUUGCAAAGUUAUGUUUCUACACUUUUCGCAACAGGAAUUAUAAUUAAGCGUCUUCAGCCGUCAAUUCCAAUACUGAUACAUGUGUUGGACUCUUCAAUAACAAUAGCUGGCUGCUGGCAUUUAAAGAUGAAAGUGGUCACAGGAUGUGCAACUGGCCA